UGGGGAAUAUUGGACAAUGGGGGCAACCCUGAUCCAGCAAUGCCAUGUGUGCGAAGAAGGCCUUCGGGUUGUAAAGCACUUUAGUGAGGGAGCAAAGGUGAUGUGUUAAUACCACAUUACAUUGAGAGUACCUCAAGAAUAAGCACCGGCAAACUCUGUGCCAGCAGCCGCGGUAAUACAGAGGGUGCAAGCGUUAAUCGGAAUUAUUGGGCGUAAAGGGCUUGUAGGUGGUUCUAUAAGUUAGAUGUGAAAACCCUGGGCUUAACCUGGGACGUGCAUUUAAUACUGUAGAGCUAGAGUAUGGUAGAGGAGAGGGGAAUUCCUGGUGUAGCAGUGAAAUGCGUAGAGAUCAGGAGGAACAUCUGUGGCGAAGGCGCCUCUCUGGACUAAUACUGACACUGAAAAGCGAAGGCGUGGGGAUCAAACAGGAUUAGAUACUCUGGUAGUCCACGCAGUAAACGAUGAAUACUAGCCGCUGGAGGUUAAAACCUUAAGUGGCGCAGCUAACGCGAUAAGUAUUCCGCCUGGGAAGUACGGCCGCAAGGUUAA
Molecule: ribosomal RNA, 549 nt
Filed under: uncultured Pseudomonadota bacterium
Lineage: Bacteria; Pseudomonadati; Pseudomonadota
Description: bacterial SSU rRNA
Rfam family: Bacterial small subunit ribosomal RNA
Source: RNAcentral